This 766-nucleotide long non-coding RNA is filed under the name Trifolium pratense (red clover). RNAcentral describes it as "long non-coding RNA (TPRA_LNC008208)". The record is from RNAcentral. Lineage: Eukaryota; Viridiplantae; Streptophyta; Magnoliopsida; Fabales; Fabaceae.
CAAUAUGAUCUAAACACCAUUCAGAAAAAGAGAAAGAGGACUUACGACCAAAACGACCCUUAAACCAAAACCAAGAAAAAGUUUUAAUAUCAUCUACAAGUUUGGAAGCAUCUGGUAAGUCUCCAUUAAAAACAACAUUAUUUAUAAGCUUCCAUAAGCACCAUGUAGUGGCCAACCAAAUCAAAUGACGAAUUCGAUUACCUUUUCUUGAUUUAACCAAAGAACCAAAGGAUAAAAAGUGAUUCCAACCUUCCAAACUUGUCGGUAAACUCUGUCCUAACCAUCUAUAUAUAGUUUCCCACACACCUUUAACAAAAGAGCAAUUGAAGAAUAGAUGGGAACAGUCUUCCAUUUGCAUAUAACAAAAAGUACAAGAAAUAUCAUGCGGAUUAUUCAAUAUACCUCUAUGAUGAAGGGCUGCCCGCGUAGGGAGCUUCUCUAGAAGCAAUCUCCAACCAAAAAUAUUUACUUUAGAUGGAACAUCGUUUUUCCAAAGCUUUUGGAUAGCAUCCAAAACAUUUGACUCCAAAACAACCGUGUUAGAAUAUUGAAGCAACAAACUAUAACACGAUUUAACCGUAAAGAGGCCAACCGAAUCUGGCACCCACCGCCAUCUAUCCGACCUCGCUUGAUCAAAAGGACAAUCAAGUAAAAGUUGUUUAAGAGCUCGAAAAUGAUGUGCGUCAUUGUCAGAAAGUUCUUCACACCACUGUCAAUGCCACUCGGUAUCUGUUCCAUUUCGACUCAACCUAUCUGAGAUCAAAAC